This 600-nucleotide ribosomal RNA is filed under the name Caballeronia sp. RNAcentral describes it as "bacterial SSU rRNA". It matches the Rfam family "Bacterial small subunit ribosomal RNA", at positions 451 to 1049 of the family's 1533-position model. The record is from RNAcentral. Lineage: Bacteria; Pseudomonadati; Pseudomonadota; Betaproteobacteria; Burkholderiales; Burkholderiaceae.
CACUAAUACUGUGAGGGGAUGACGGUACCGGAAGAAUAAGCACCGGCUAACUACGUGCCAGCAGCCGCGGUAAUACGUAGGGUGCGAGCGUUAAUCGGAAUUACUGGGCGUAAAGCGUGCGCAGGCGGUUCGUUAAGACAGAUGUGAAAUCCCCGGGCUUAACCUGGGAACUGCAUUUGUGACUGGCGAGCUAGAGUAUGGCAGAGGGGGGUAGAAUUCCACGUGUAGCAGUGAAAUGCGUAGAGAUGUGGAGGAAUACCGAUGGCGAAGGCAGCCCCCUGGGCCAAUACUGACGCUCAUGCACGAAAGCGUGGGGAGCAAACAGGAUUAGAUACCCUGGUAGUCCACGCCCUAAACGAUGUCAACUAGUUGUUGGGUCUUCAUUGACUUAGUAACGUAGCUAACGCGUGAAGUUGACCGCCUGGGGAGUACGGUCGCAAGAUUAAAACUCAAAGGAAUUGACGGGGACCCGCACAAGCGGUGGAUGAUGUGGAUUAAUUCGAUGCAACGCGAAAAACCUUACCUACCCUUGACAUGGUCGGAACCUGGCUGAAAGGCUGGGGUGCUCGAAAGAGAACCGAUACACAGGUGCUGCAUGGC